UGGGGAGCUGUAAGUAAGCUUUGAUCCAGAGAUUUCCGAAUGGGGAAACCCAGCAUGAGUUAUGUCAUGUUAUCGAUAUGUGAAUACAUAGCAUAUCAGAAGGCACACCCGGAGAACUGAAACAUCUUAGUACCCGGAGGAAGAAAAAGAAAAUUCGAUUCCCUUAGUAGCGGCGAGCGAAACGGGAAGAGCCCAAACCAACAAGCUUGCUUGUUGGGGUUGUAGGACACUCUAUACGGAGUUACAAAGGACGACAUUAGACGAAUCAUCUGGAAAGAUGAAUCAAAGAAGGUAAUAAUCCUGUAGUCGAAAAUGUUGUCUCUCUUGAGUGGAUCCUGAGUACGACGGAACACGUGAAAUUCCGUCGGAAUCUGGGAGGACCAUCUCCUAAGGCUAAAUACUCUCUAGUGACCGAUAGUGAACCAGUACCGUGAGGGAAAGGUGAAAAGCACCCCGGAAGGGGAGUGAAAUAGAACCUGAAACCGUGUGCUUACAAGUAGUCAGAGCCCGUUAAUGGGUGAUGGCGUGCCUUUUGUAGAAUGAACCGGCGAGUUACGAUUUGAUGCAAGGUUAAGCAGUAAAUGUGGAGCCGUAGCGAAAGCGAGUCUGAAUAGGGCGUUUAGUAUUUGGUCGUAGACCCGAAACCAGGUGAUCUACCCUUGGUCAGGUUGAAGUUCAGGUAACACUGAAUGGAGGACCGAACCGACUUACGUUGAAAAGUGAGCGGAUGAACUGAGGGUAGCGGAGAAAUUCCAAUCGAACCUGGAGAUAGCUGGUUCUCUCCGAAAUAGCUUUAGGGCUAGCCUCAAGUGAUGAUUAUUGGAGGUAGAGCACUGUUUGGACGAGGGGCCCCUCUCGGGUUACCGAAUUCAGACAAACUCCGAAUGCCAAUUAAUUUAACUUGGGAGUCAGAACAUGGGUGAUAAGGUCCGUGUUCGAAAGGGAAACAGCCCAGACCACCAGCUAAGGUCCCAAAAUAUAUGUUAAGUGGAAAAGGAUGUGGCGUUGCCCAGACAACUAGGAUGUUGGCUUAGAAGCAGCCAUCAUUUAAAGAGUGCGUAAUAGCUCACUAGUCGAGUGACACUGCGCCGAAAAUGUACCGGGGCUAAACAUAUUACCGAAGCUGUGGAUUGUCCUUUGGACAAUGGUAGGAGAGCGUUCUAAGGGCGUUGAAGCAUGAUCGUAAGGACAUGUGGAGCGCUUAGAAGUGAGAAUGCCGGUGUGAGUAGCGAAAGACGGGUGAGAAUCCCGUCCACCGAUUGACUAAGGUUUCCAGAGGAAGGCUCGUCCGCUCUGGGUUAGUCGGGUCCUAAGCUGAGGCCGACAGGCGUAGGCGAUGGAUAACAGGUUGAUAUUCCUGUACCACCUAUAAUCGUUUUAAUCGAUGGGGGGACGCAGUAGGAUAGGCGAAGCGUGCGAUUGGAUUGCACGUCUAAGCAGUAAGGCUGAGUAUUAGGCAAAUCCGGUACUCGUUAAGGCUGAGCUGUGAUGGGGAGAAGACAUUGUGUCUUCGAGUCGUUGAUUUCACACUGCCGAGAAAAGCCUCUAGAUAGAAAAUAGGUGCCCGUACCGCAAACCGACACAGGUAGUCAAGAUGAGAAUUCUAAGGUGAGCGAGCGAACUCUCGUUAAGGAACUCGGCAAAAUGACCCCGUAACUUCGGGAGAAGGGGUGCUCUUUAGGGUUAACGCCCAGAAGAGCCGCAGUGAAUAGGCCCAAGCGACUGUUUAUCAAAAACACAGGUCUCUGCUAAACCGUAAGGUGAUGUAUAGGGGCUGACGCCUGCCCGGUGCUGGAAGGUUAAGAGGAGUGGUUAGCUUCUGCGAAGCUACGAAUCGAAGCCCCAGUAAACGGCGGCCGUAACUAUAACGGUCCUAAGGUAGCGAAAUUCCUUGUCGGGUAAGUUCCGACCCGCACGAAAGGCGUAACGAUUUGGGCACUGUCUCAACGAGAGACUCGGUGAAAUCAUAGUACCUGUGAAGAUGCAGGUUACCCGCGACAGGACGGAAAGACCCCGUGGAGCUUUACUGUAGCCUGAUAUUGAAAUUCGGCACAGCUUGUACAGGAUAGGUAGGAGCCUUUGAAACGUGAGCGCUAGCUUACGUGGAGGCGCUGGUGGGAUACUACCCUAGCUGUGUUGGCUUUCUAACCCGCACCACUUAUCGUGGUGGGAGACAGUGUCAGGCGGGCAGUUUGACUGGGGCGGUCG
This 2208-nucleotide ribosomal RNA is filed under the name Staphylococcus aureus. RNAcentral's name for it is "partial 23S ribosomal RNA". It matches the Rfam family "Bacterial large subunit ribosomal RNA", at positions 79 to 2285 of the family's 2925-position model. Lineage: Bacteria; Bacillati; Bacillota; Bacilli; Caryophanales; Staphylococcaceae. The record is from RNAcentral.